UGGGAAACUUCCUGUACCAUCCCUGGGAAUUUGGACAACAAGUAGGACAGGAACUCCUGCAUUAACAUAGCUUGUAUUAAACAGGCACUGGUGUGAUUGGAUCUGAGAGUGGGAGAGGAAACACUACUGGGAAUGGCCAGGAUUGCUCCCUGUUGCAGGCAACGCUGCUGAGAAAGCACAAACCAGCCACAGUGGUGAAGUCAUGCAAAUGCAAUGCUCCCAAAGGCCACAGGAAUUGUGGAAAGAUUUGUGUACAAAAGUGGAAGAGAUGGCAAGCAUAAAUAGGGUUAAACAAGGUACAAGGGAAAGGAAGGCUGAUCUGUGAGCACCAAGUGAACCUUCUUGCUGUCGGCAUGCCUGGAAAAAUACAUGCCGCACACCCAUCCCUGAGUCAUUUCAAACUGCAUAGUGCCUCUGUUGCCCACCAGCUGGAGGUCUUUUCCAGUGUCUAAUGUGAACAUGCAGUGCUGGAGAAGCACAGCAAUAUGCCAUUCCUUUUAGGCUUGCCCAUGUCCAGAUGUACAUCCCAAGAUUUGCUAGCUCUGGGGAACGUAAAGCAAACUGAAGGAAACAGGAUUUUACUGAAAGAAACAGGAUUCUACAGAAAAGAAGCAGACCCAUAAGAACUGUACAGAGAACAUUUUCUUUCGGAGUACCUACUGUUAUGCAAUUGUGCUAAGACUAUGCCUCUGUAUUUCACAUCCCUUUUAUGAGUUUGCCAGAGGCAGCAGAAGCCAUAGAGGACCUUUCUCCAAGGCAGAGAAUGCAGAUGAUCCCACUCUGAAGAGAGACGAUGCAAAGCACAAAGGUUUCAGCGUACCCACAUGGUACCACAUGGAGCUUUGGGAGGCACAGUGCUCUCACUCUGUAAUAAUGCUGAUUGAUUGCCACAGCGUUAUGGAUCCCAGCUCAUCUGGAACCCAUGAGAAACUCCUUUUCAUACUAAACACUGACUUCUCAAAAAAGUUCAAGUGCUUCAUAAGCGUAAAUUGAUUCAGCCUAACAGUGUUUCUAUGACGUGGGAAAAUCUGUGAUGCUUAACUGACACCACUUACUUGACUUGCUAAAACUGCAAACUGAAUCAGUAAUAGAGAUAAGAACCGAACUCAGGAUCCUUAUUUUUGACCGCCUCGCUCCAUACAGUAAAUGCAGACAAGGCAAACUCCCAGUACUCAACAGAACAAGUUACUGGACUGUGGCCAGAGCACCUCUGUAUAAUAGUGCAAAAGCAAUUCCUUUUGUGAAUUCCUCCAACCCCUUCAAAACUAGCUUUAAAGAGGGGGAAAUGCUCUAAAAACUGUCUUAUAAAUAUACCACAGCUUCUCUUCUGCUCUUUUAAAUUUAUUUUUUUCCAUAACCAUGGAUGGCAUUAUUUAAUAACAUUCAGAUACUGGGAAUCUGACAUGGGUGGCUAAGUUAGCUGACUAGUCUUUAGGUUCCCUCUAUAGUCCAUAGGCAGGUGUGCAUCUAGGAGGUUCUUCCAGAGAAUGAUUCAGAGCAGAAAUCUAAGUCAGGUGCUCAGAAUUGAGCUGACCGAGUGCCUAAAGUCUUGACAGCGUCUUGUUCCCUGACUGCAACAGGUAGAGCUGGGAUUCAUCUGCCGGUACAAUAUAGAAGAAGUUUAAUACCUAUGGCAGAGAAAAGAUCGAGAGGUGAUGAUCCUUUUUAUGAUAUGCUUGUAGAUCUCGGAGGGCUCUAAGCAGUAGUACCCGAAGUAUUGUGGAACUGAAGAAAGAAAGAAAGAGAAUAAAUGUAUAGUGGAGAAAUCUGUGUUCUGGGCA
This 1781-nucleotide long non-coding RNA is filed under the name Struthio camelus australis. RNAcentral's name for it is "lncRNA (ENSSCUG00000013671.1)". Lineage: Eukaryota; Metazoa; Chordata; Aves; Struthioniformes; Struthionidae. The record is from RNAcentral.